Long non-coding RNA from Rhagoletis zephyria (snowberry fruit fly), 4545 nucleotides. RefSeq lists it as uncharacterized. Lineage: Eukaryota; Metazoa; Arthropoda; Insecta; Diptera; Tephritidae. The record is from RefSeq and is a predicted model, not a curated record.
UCAACUGCCACCGAAUGUUGGUCAAUAUCCACGCCCAAGUAUGCUUAUGCCUAGAGAGCCGGAUGUUCUGCUGCGCAUGUCCUACGCCGAUCAGCUUCAGUAUUUACAGGCUGCUGAAUUCCAGCGACAGUCACUGCACGAACAGUACUUUAGACAAAGGCCCAGGUAAAUGGACCAGUAUGGUAGAACGUUUUAUAGUAUGCGUUAAGUUUUAAAAUAAAAAAAUAAAAAAAAACUGAAGAAAAGGAAAACAUACAUAAAUAAAAGCGCCAGUUGUGUGGGUAGCGUGCUGCAGCGCUUCGCUUGGAUACAAAUUUCACAUAAAACUUUAGUGCUUAUAAGUGUAAAUAAUGCGUGCAGCGUGCUACGUGCGCUCAAUCGUUCUACCAAGCAACAUCUUUAAACAACUACAACUACAACAACAACAGCAACAUCAACAACUACGACGACACGAAGCAAAGCAAGCAAAUUUAUGCGUGUCAAUCCAUUUCGGUACACUCCUAAUCUACUACCAUUCGACUCCACUUUUUCACUUCACUCGCAUCGAACCUGCGCGUCACUUGGAGUAAAGUUAAGCCACAUUAUCUCUGAUGAAAUGUACCAUCAUUUGUUCGCGUCUUGAUUGCCAUUCAUUGUUUGUUUGUUUGUUUGGUUUUCAAGAUUGAACAACGUCAAUAUGCGGUCAAUGUGAAGUACAUUUCAUUUGUGUAAUGCUUAAUUUUAGGCAAUUUAUGUAAUUGUCACAAUUGUUGACAAUAUCCCUUCAAAAAAAUCAACUGCGUUAGUCCUUACUUGGGAUGAAUAACACAAAAAUUUAUCAGAAAUAAAACAACAUUAUUGAGUAUGCAAUCAAAGAUUGGACAACUACAAAUCAAACUAAAAACUAAAGAGCAAUGACGUACUAUAACGGACACGGAAAACGGAACUAUAACUGGCAAUGCAUUCGGAGCAUAUAUUAAAAAUGCGAAUAUCUUUUUUUUAGGAUCACAAAUGUACAUAGUAUACACCACACUCAAAUUUACAAGCACAACGCUAUUGACGCUUAUGAGUAUGUUAACUCGAAGAAAAACGGAACAACAAUAGGUCACAUAAAUUGAACAUGAAUUGUAGAUUUCAAAAAAAAAAAUUAGUUCAACGUUAAUAUAAAUUAGUGACAAAAACAUGAUUGAACAGUUAUGCGUAUGUGGUAUAUUUUGUAAGUUACUUAAUGUAAAUUUAUACAGACAAUUUUGUACGAUAGAUACAUAUUUUUUUUGUUUUGUAAACGUGUUUUGUAAUAGAGCCUUUUGAAGAUAAAGUAGGCGACGUGCAAGCCGUUAAUUAGGCAAAUUAGGUUUUCAUUGAAAUAUUAUGUAUGUACAUAUGUACAUUGGCAAGUAAUCAUUUAGAAGAAAGAACCAGCUACGCAUACCAAAACAACAGACAAAAAACAGACAACUAAUUAGCUGAUUUCGUCAUUGAAUUUAUCUAGCAAGCGACGAGACCGUUGGCUUGGGUCUAGUAGCAGCUUUAUGCAUUUGUAUAAAAAAUACGCUUACGAUUGGAUUUUGGCAUUAACUACAUUUGAUUUACAUACUUAAAAAAAAAAGCAAUAGUUAUAAAUAAAUGUUGCAAUCAAGAUAUUUCGCUAGAAUUAUGAUGGUACAAAUGAACUUGGAAUUUAGUUUUCCUCAAGACAAAAGCUUGUGCACUACAUACGCACUUACUGCAUCAUAUACAUAUAUACACACCUAGGUAUACAUACAUAGAUAUGUCUAAGUUCAUUAUAGCAGGCAAAAGUUUACUAAAAUAUAAUUAUGUAAAACUAAAUAGCCAUGACAGCAAAUUGUCUAAAAAGUACUUUUGAUAAUUAGUUUUUAUUUGUACGUAGUCGAGCAGCAUUAAGGAGUAGGCGAAUUAUGGAAUUGUGGCAUAUAUAGUAAACAGUUAUACAUACAUACAUACAUACAUACAUACAUGCAUAUGUACACAUAUAUUAUGCGAAACAUAUGUGUACACAAACUCAAAACAGUUAUGUAAAUAGCAACAUUUUAAUGAUGAACAAAUAUUUAAGGCAAGUCUUUUUGUUUGCCAUUUUUAAUAGUAUUUUUUGUUAGUUUAAAUUCUACCUUUUUUGUUUGUGUGAAAGUUUUUUUAUUAAAAACAAAUAUUUAUUUAUAGUGCUUUAGUAUUAUUUGUAUAUUGCUUUCGAUAUUUAAAAUUAUUUUGAACAAGUUUUAACAUAGAGUGUAAAAGGUAAAAAUAAAAGGCACUCAUAAAAAAAAUAAUAAUUCAAAAUUAAACUAGCCUAAAAUUAUGAGCUGUUGCUGAGUACAUAUAAAGUAUAAGUUAAAAGGUAUAUAUUAAAUGUAGAAAAGAAAGUGUGAGUAAGCGCAGUGCGAUUUGUAAUUUGUAUGCUGCUAAUAUUUUGGCUAUUGACUGUAAGAGUAUGUAGUAAUCAAAAAAAAAAAAAAAUAUAUAUAUACAUAUAUAUCGUAUUAUAAAUGAUUAGUCAAAGCGGAAAGUUUAACAAUAAAAAUUUAGUGACAGCUGACAGGAAAUUGAGAACGCGAUAAGCAUUUUAAGCAAUGAAUCUACAUAUUAAGGAGAGGUCCCGAAAAUUUUUUCGUUUCUUCUUUCUAUAUUAAACUUGCAGUAAUCUAAUAAAAUUUUCAUGCUUAAACAACGGCGUGAAACUGUCUUGGGCGCAUACGUCAUGUUGGUCGUUCAUGGGUUAAAUUUGCAAGUAUAUGAAAUUAAGGGCCGAUUACUCAAUGUAAAAUACAUACUGCAGGUUAAACAUCGUUAUGGACGUGAUCGAUUCCAUAACAUACAUAUAACAGGGAGUCGAUAGCGUCGAUAACGAUGUUUAACCUAUAGUUAGUGUUAACCAGACAUUCAGUGACCGGCCCUAAGAAUUAUAUGUAUAUUCAUAUACAUACAGAAGGUGACAAAAUGAAAUGAUCAUAGGCAAAGUUGCAACAGAAAGAUUCAAAGUUAACUCCUUGGAAGCUAUUAGUAAAAGAAUUUGUACCAAAUGUUAGGUUAAUAUCACGCAGUUAAACUAAUAUGAACUUCAUAAGCAAAAUAAAAACGUUACAACUUAUGUUACAUAUGUUCCUCGGAAAAUUGUGUUGUAAGAAUAAGUUGCCAUGCGCCAAUACCCAGAAGAUAAUUAGGUGGGCCUUCUGAAGUGAAGCCAUUCUAAAAUUGGGGAUUUACUGUGUCCUUUUAUUCAGACACCUAUACAAAUUUCACCACAAUGACUUCUGCAGAAACUGCUAGAACGAAGAAGAGCUAGAAACGAUCAGGUAUUUGGAGCUAUCACUUUGUACAUCAUAGUACGUAAAAUAGGUACGAACGUAACAUAUUCUUUGAAUACACUCGUUCGCAGCAAUUAGGAUUAAAGGUUCAUAUUUUCAUAAAUUUAACGACAAUGAAACCACGAUGGAUUCUGUGAUAGCCUCGAUUUACUCGGUACUUGUCCUGCAUUCUGAGUACAAGGUCUUUAAAAGAUUUAAGCGCAAUUUGAAUGAAAAGCAAUAGAAGAAUUAAUCUGUCAGACUAAUAAUGAUUUAUUGAACUUAAAUCUUACCAAAUUUUUGAUUCGAAAUCCAUCAGGUAAGGCAACUUGCAUGAAAGAGGCGUAAUUUUUAUAUUAUCAACUUAUUUUUGCGCGUUUUCUUUCGAACCAAUACAGUUAGAGGCCACGUUACGGACAUAUUUUUAAACCAAAAUGCCUGAAAAAUUUAAUACAAGCCAACUCUAGUAUCCCUUACUUCGAGAUGUGUAAAGAGAAAUUUCACAUUUUAAGAUUAGCUGACACUUGAUUCACCCUUUUUUUCUCGCCUAAGUUAACCAACUUCAUUUUGCCAGCUACUGUAUGCAUUUGUGAUUUUAUGUAUGUGCAAAUUUUUAACGAUGUUUCUCUAGUAAAAAGGGGGGAAAAAAUACAUUACAAACUUGAAAUGCAUAUAACCACAGCUGCAUUCGAUUUUUUCGAUUCACUUCAAAGAUGGACAAAUUUUUGUAUGGUUUUAAAAAUGUAGUAGAUAUAUGAACAUAAAAUGCUUUAAAAUUACACGCUCUUCAUUGCCAAGGACACACAACUCAUUUAAGCUUAACUAAGGAAUUAAAUCUAUAUAUUAUGUAUGUAUAUAUCCAAAUACCAUGAAAAGAAAAAAAAAUCGCCGUAAAUAUUUUUUUUUUUUUUUUUCGUGUGGUUAUAAAUUUUAAUUUAACUUUUUGAAAUUGCGUAAAAUUUCACUUGUGUAACACUCUGAAGGCAAGCAAGUGACAUCAGCUUAUACUUUGCUCUUUCGCAUAAUUAAAAAAAAAAUAGACACACAAAAAGCAUUCAAGAGUACACAAAUCAAAGAGAAAUUAAAAAAAGUAGCUAUUGUAACAAAAGGAAGAUACAAACAUAAAGUGUUAUUAAAAUAAAAAGCGAACGCCAGUUUAGCUAUGAGCUCUUACUGCAGCAUUAAAAAAUAAAUAAAAAAAUAACAGCAAAUUAAAAUAGUGUAAACACAGCACCAAUUUAAAACAACAAAUACUACGUAUAUA